Molecule: ribosomal RNA, 497 nt
Filed under: uncultured bacterium
Lineage: Bacteria
Description: partial 16S ribosomal RNA
Rfam family: Bacterial small subunit ribosomal RNA
Source: RNAcentral
GAUGAACGCUGGCGGCGUGCCUAAUACAUGCAAGUCGAGCGAACGGACGAGAAGCUUGCUUCUCUGAUGUUAGCGGCGGACGGGAGAGUAACACGUGGAUAACCUACCUAUAAGACUGGUAUAACUUCGGGAAACCGGAGCUAAUACCGGAUAAUAUUUUGAACCGCAUGGUUCAAAAGUGAAAGACGGUCUUGCUGUCACUUAUAGAUGGAUCCGCGCUGCAUUAGCUGGUUGGUAAGGUAACGGCUUACCAAGGCAACGAUGCAUAGCCGACCUGAGAGGGUGAUCGGCGACACUGGAAGUGAGACACGGUCCAGACUACUAAGGGAGGCAGCAGUAGGGAAUCUGACGCAGUGGGCGAGAGCCUGACGGAGCAGGGCCACGUGAGUGAUGAAGGUGUUCGGAGCGUAAUACUCGGUUAUUAGGGAAGAACAGCUGUGUAAGUAGAUGUGCACAGCUUGACGGUAACUAGUCAGAAAGCCACGGCUAACUACGUG